Molecule: ribosomal RNA, 253 nt
Filed under: uncultured bacterium
Lineage: Bacteria
Description: partial 16S ribosomal RNA
Rfam family: Bacterial small subunit ribosomal RNA
Source: RNAcentral
UACGUAGGGUGCAAGCGUUAAUCGGAAUUACUGGGCGUAAAGCGUGCGCAGGCGGUGAUGUAAGACAGAUGUGAAAUCCCCGGGCUCAACCUGGGAACUGCAUUUGUGACUGCAUCGCUAGAGUACGGCAGAGGGGGAUGGAAUUCCGCGUGUAGCAGUGAAAUGCGUAGAUAUGCGGAGGAACACCGAUGGCGAAGGCAGCCCCCUGGGCCAAUACUGACGCUCAGGCACGAAAGCGUGGGGAGCAAACAGG